GGGGAAUAUUGGGCAAUGGAGGCAACUCUGACCCAGCAACGCCGCGUGAGGGAAGAAGGUUUUCGGAUUGUAAACCUCUGUCCUUGGGGACGAAGAAAGUGACGGUACCCAAGGAGGAAGCCCCGGCUAACUACGUGCCAGCAGCCGCGGUAAUACGUAGGGGGCAAGCGUUGUCCGGAAUUACUGGGCGUAAAGGGUGCGUAGGCGGUUAUUUAAGUCAGAUGUGAAAUCCCCGGGCUUAACUCGGGUGGUGCAUUUGAAACUGGGUAACUAGAGUGCAGGAGAGGGAAGCGGAAUUCCUAGUGUAGCGGUGAAAUGCGUAGAUAUUAGGAGGAACACCAGUGGCGAAGGCGGCUUUCUGGACUGUAACUGACGCUGAGGCACGAAAGCGUGGGGAGCAAAC
RNAcentral lists this ribosomal RNA (403 nucleotides) under uncultured bacterium. Its description in RNAcentral is "bacterial SSU rRNA". It matches the Rfam family "Bacterial small subunit ribosomal RNA", at positions 356 to 773 of the family's 1533-position model. The record is from RNAcentral.